This 864-nucleotide small RNA is filed under the name Pan troglodytes (chimpanzee). RNAcentral describes it as "retained intron". Lineage: Eukaryota; Metazoa; Chordata; Mammalia; Primates; Hominidae. The record is from RNAcentral.
CAGUAUCCCAGGAGGAGCAAGUGGCACGUCUUCGGGUGAGUGUGCGGCUGUGCUGGAGCCCGGGUUACCAGCUCUUGCCCGCGCGGAAUAGGCUUUAAGAAAUCGGAGCUGCAGCCAUCUGUUUUUCUCUUAAUGCUGCAUCUGUGUUCUCACGGUGGUCCUUGGGGUGAGGUUAGAGAAGGAGCCGAGGGAUCCUGACACCACCUCCACAGCACCGGCGGGCGAGGUGCCCUACUUUAGGCGUAGCCUUCUGCUUUUGGAGCCAGAUUUCUGUGGACUUCUGUUCGCGUUCAGAAAUGCCGCCUCAAACUUCUCUCAAUUGUUCAUUAAGUGAACUUCUCUCAUUCCCUUCCCCUUUGCCGAUAAUUGGAGGGGAAAAGAAGUAGGAAGCGGGACACGGUGUCCUGGGGCAAGGGACUUAUUACCUAAAAUUCGCGGCCCCUUCUGUCCCUAAAGGUUCUUCUCCCUGCCCACUUUUUGGUCUCUUUUUAGACCUAGGCUGCCCCUGCCGUCAUGUCGCAAGGGAUCCUUUCUCCGCCAGCGGGCUUGCUGUCCGAUGACGAUGUCGUAGUUUCUCCCAUGUUUGAGUCCACAGCUGCAGAUUUGGGGUCUGUGGUACGCAAGAACCUGCUAUCAGACUGCUCUGUCGUCUCUACCUCCCUAGAGGACAAGCAGCAGGUUCCAUCUGAGGACAGUAUGGAGAAGGUGAAAGUAUACUUGAGGGUUAGGCCCUUGUUACCUUCAGAGUUGGAACGACAGGAAGAUCAGGGUUGUGUCCGUAUUGAGAAUGUGGAGACCCUUGUUCUACAAGCACCCAAGGACUCUUUUGCCCUGAAGAGCAAUGAACGGGGAAUUGGCCAAGCC